Long non-coding RNA from Microplitis mediator, 1120 nucleotides. RefSeq lists it as uncharacterized. Lineage: Eukaryota; Metazoa; Arthropoda; Insecta; Hymenoptera; Braconidae. The record is from RefSeq and is a predicted model, not a curated record. The transcript is spliced from 3 exons.
AACAAUGAUGUCGGGUAAUCAAUUUUUGCUAGUAUAUUUCUUAACACUUCUAUCAAUCAGAACUGUAACAUAAUUCGUACAUGCUAUUAUCUUAUUAUAUAAAUAGCCCUCAUCAGUAUUACGAUCAACGGUGUAUUAGCUAGUGAGUUUCUAAAUGAUAUGAUUAGGAUAUGAAGAAUAGUAUUGCAUUGUUAUAUCGUCAAAUAUAAAUUUUAAGAAUCUUGAUUUCAUAUGUUCAUUUGUUGAUAGUGGAUCUGCGCAGCAAGUAGCUUCAUAGUGGAAAGCAACAUUCGAAUCGAUCAAUGUUUUUACUCUAAAAACAUCGCGCACGUCAGUCUUUAAAUUCUAAUUAGUUUCGAUUUUAUGAACUUUUGUCCUCAUUUUCUAAAUAAUAUUUUGAUUUAUUAUAAAGAUUUGUACUCAUCGAAAAAAUUGAAUAAUCUAAUUUAUUCUAUGUUAAUGUUCUGAAAAUUACAUAUUACAUUAACAUGAAAAUGCGGAAAAUAUAUGAGAAAUUUUUUUUGCGUAUAAAUUUUUGUUAUAUUUUAAUUAUAUCCUAGUAGCAAUCUUGGUCAAGACAAGAAAAAAAUAGCACCAUACUAUAUAUCUAUGUACACUGUGUUAUUAUAGAUCUUGAUUAAAAUUGCCUCUAGGGUAAAGGAGGACGGAUGGGCCAGCAAAGACAAAAAUUUCAGUAGUCCAUAGAAAGAUGAAAAUUUUUAAUCUUGGACAAGAUGAGGCUUACUUGAAAAAAUUAAUGAAAGUUGAAGGUCUAUGAUGUCACCCACAAUCAUACCCCUAAAUAAAAAAGUCAUCACCCCAGGGGUUAAUGAGAGAAAAAAAUAAAAACACCUCCAACAACAGAUUUUUCGCAAAUAUUUCAUAAACAACAAAAAAUUCGUGAAAAACUUUUAAACCAAAGUUGUAGAGAAAAAAAAUCACAUCAAAAAGUAUUAUAAAUUUUUUUUGUAUCUAUAACAAAUAACACGCAAUAAAUUUUUGAAAUUUCGAAGCGUAAAUAUACUGAAUUUUUAGAAGGCUACGCCGCUGAAGUAGAAUAUUAUGUGUACGUAUAGCUGCACUGCUUACCCUAAGUCCUUUGACGUCGCUAGGGUUGCAU